AGUGAACGCUGGCGGUAGGCCUAACACAUGCAAGUCGAACGGCAGCACAGUAAGAGCUUGCUCUUACGGGUGGCGAGUGGCGGACGGGUGAGGAAUACAUCGGAAUCUACUUUUUCGUGGGGGAUAACGUAGGGAAACUUACGCUAAUACCGCAUACGACCUACGGGUUAAAGCAGGGGAUCUUCGGACCUUGCGCGAUUGAAUGAGCCGAUGUCGGAUUAGCUAGUUGGCGGGGUAAAGGCCCACCAAGGCGACGAUCCGUAGCUGGUCUGAGAGGAUGAUCAGCCACACUGGAACUGAGACACGGUCCAGACUCCUACGGGAGGCAGCAGUGGGGAAUAUUGGACAAUGGGCGCAAGCCUGAUCCAGCCAUACCGCGUGGGUGAAGAAGGCCUUCGGGUUGUAAAGCCCUUUUGUUGGGAAAGAAAAGCAGCAGGUUAAUACCCCGAUGUUCUGACGGUACCAAAAGAAUAAGCACCGGCUAACUUCGUG
RNAcentral lists this ribosomal RNA (492 nucleotides) under uncultured bacterium. Its description in RNAcentral is "partial 16S ribosomal RNA". It matches the Rfam family "Bacterial small subunit ribosomal RNA", at positions 29 to 507 of the family's 1533-position model. The record is from RNAcentral.